Molecule: ribosomal RNA, 492 nt
Filed under: uncultured bacterium
Lineage: Bacteria
Description: partial 16S ribosomal RNA
Rfam family: Bacterial small subunit ribosomal RNA
Source: RNAcentral
AGUGAACGCUGGCGGUAGGCCUAACACAUGCAAGUCGAACGAAAGCACAGUAAGAGCUUGCUCUUACGGGUGGCGACUGACGGACGGGUGAGGCGUACAUCGGCAUCUUCUAUUUCGGGGAGGAUAACGUAGGGAAACUGACGCUAAUACCGCAUACGACCUACGGCUGAAAGCAGUGGUUCUUCGGACCUUUGCCGUCUCUAAUAGACGAAGCCGGAUUAGCUAGUUGGUGUGGUAAAGGCCCACCAAGGCAACGAUACGUAGCUGGUCUGAGAGGAUGAUCGGCCACACUGGAACUGAGACACGGUCCAGACUCCUACGGGAGGCAGCAGUGGGGAAUAUUGGGCAAUGGGCGCAAGCCUGAUCCAGCCAUGCCGCGUGAGUGAAGAAGGUCUUCGGGUUGUAAAGCCCUGUUGUUGGGAAAGAAAAGCAGCAGAUUAAUCCCUCGCUGUUUUGACGGUACCCAAAGAAUAAGCACCGGCUAACUUCGUG